Molecule: small nucleolar RNA, 107 nt
Organism: Dendrobium catenatum
Lineage: Eukaryota; Viridiplantae; Streptophyta; Magnoliopsida; Asparagales; Orchidaceae
Source: RefSeq, a predicted model, not a curated record
AGGGAGUAGUGAGGAAACUUCUUAAGGAGUUCUUUAAAUCUCUCCCACGACUCAUAAAUGGAUUCACCAUCUAAUUGAAUAAAUUAGGUGAUAUAAUUUCUAAGCUU